CCGGCCUCCCUCGCAGCUCACAGUCUCAGCGGGGGACAGUGCCAGAGUUGGGUUCUUACCCACCAGAGAGGCUCCCAGGCCCCUCUCAGACCAGACUGAAGCAGAAUUCUCCUCUCUGCCUUCUAGAAUGUCUCGUAAAAGCUGCUCCUCUUGGGGAGGCUCUGGGCUUUGGAGAGAGCACCUGGAAUUCCCCACUAGAAAAGCCCAAAAACUGAAAAAUAUUCAUUACGUAUUUUCAAUACAGAGUUCCUGACGUUUUCCAGCAGAGGGCGCUAGAGAAGAGCCGGCCAAACCUGCAGAGCGUUGACCAAAGUCACAAGAGUAAACCAAACGCCUCGCCCUACCAGGCGUCUCCCCACCAGCUCGACCCCGCGGAUUUCUCCCACAGAACACAGCCCCAGCCCUGGGCCUCCACGUGUGGCAGAGCAGGGAGCAGGCCCUGGGACACUUUCCUACUCAACAAAUACACUGCACUUGGUGGAUCAGCAGGCACCAUCCAGAUCGAUAAACUGGCUCAUCUGAUCUUAUGGUCUGCACCCAGGAACUGACUCAGCCCAGGAGGACAGCUUUGAUUCCCUAUGAUUGCAUCUCUGACCCAACCAAUCAGCACUCCUGACUCACUGGCUCCACCACCCACCAACUUAUCCUUAAAAACUCUUAUCCCUGAAUGCUCAGGGAGACUGAUUUGAGUAAUAAUAAAAUUCUGGUCUCCCAAACAGCC
RNAcentral lists this long non-coding RNA (721 nucleotides) under Homo sapiens (human). RNAcentral describes it as "HSALNT0265222". Lineage: Eukaryota; Metazoa; Chordata; Mammalia; Primates; Hominidae. The record is from RNAcentral.